This 484-nucleotide ribosomal RNA is filed under the name uncultured bacterium. Its description in RNAcentral is "partial 16S ribosomal RNA". It matches the Rfam family "Bacterial small subunit ribosomal RNA", at positions 30 to 507 of the family's 1533-position model. The record is from RNAcentral.
AUUGAACGCUGGCGGCAGGCCUAACACAUGCAAGUCGAGCGGAUGAAGGGAGCUUGCUCCUGGAUUCAGCGGCGGACGGGUGAGUAAUGCCUAGGAAUCUGCCUUGUAUUGGGGGAUAACGUCCGUAAACGGGCGCUAAUACCGCAUACGUCCUGAGUGAGAACGUGGGGGUUCUUCGGACCUCACGCUAUCUGAUGAGACUAGGUCGGAUUAGCUAGUUGGUGGGGUAAAGGCCUACCAAGGCGACGAUCCGUAACUGGUCUGAGAGGAUGAUCAGUCACACUGGAACUGAGACACGGUCCAGACUCCUACGGGAGGCAGCAGUGGGGAAUAUUGGACAAUGGGCGAAAGCCUGAUCCAGCCAUGCCGCGUGUGUGAAGAAGGUCUUCGGAUUGUAAAGCACUUUAAGUUGGGAGGAAGGGCAGUAAGUUAAUACGUUGCUGUUUUGACGUUACCAACAGAAUAAGCACCGGCUAACUUCGUG